GGUGACAUGGCCGAAUAUGGUAAGGUGAGGGACGACAAAUCCUUUAUCUUCAAUUUAAAUAUAGCUGUCACCU
RNAcentral lists this transfer RNA (73 nucleotides) under Arachnitis uniflora. RNAcentral's name for it is "tRNA-Cys". Lineage: Eukaryota; Viridiplantae; Streptophyta; Magnoliopsida; Liliales; Corsiaceae. The record is from RNAcentral.